This is a long non-coding RNA of Mirounga angustirostris (Northern elephant seal), 3151 nucleotides long. RefSeq lists it as uncharacterized. Lineage: Eukaryota; Metazoa; Chordata; Mammalia; Carnivora; Phocidae. The record is from RefSeq and is a predicted model, not a curated record. The transcript is spliced from 3 exons.
CUAGCCAACAGUUCCAGCUGAGGUCCCAGCUGACAGCCAGAGCAACCACCAGACACAUGAUUAACAAGUCUUCAGAUGAUUCAGCACCCAGCCUUUGGUUCUUCUCAGCUGAGGUCCCAGAUAUUGCGGAGCAGAGACCAGCCAUCUCUGUUCUGCGCAUUUUGAAUUCCUGUCCAACAGAAGCCAUAAGCGUUAUAAAUGGUGCUUGUCUCGAUGCCACUAGGCUAGAGGUGGUUAGUUAUGCCGCAAUAGUAACCAGAACAACUGGGGAUGAGCCAGAUGUAGAAAAUAGGAGCAAAUGUCAACCUUUUUGAAAAAACACUCUCACAACUCAAACCAAUCAAAAGCACAAAUACACAUGUAAGAAUUUUAUCAUAAACACAAGUCAGCAGACUCAAUAAGCUAGAGAAUUCGUCCCCAGGAACCCAAGGUAACAAUACAACAAUCAGGAAGAGCACAUAAAACAAAGCCCAGAAGAAAGAGGUUCUGGGACCGGUAUGAGGGUUCAAAGAGCACUGAGCCUUCAGAAAAAAAGACGUUACAGCUUGGUUUGAGUAUCACUGCGGAAUGGUCACGUGUCCACACCGGGGCCAGCCCCAGAGCCCAGUGCAACAGAGGCUGUGGUGAUUUGAAAGAUUCAUCGGGAAUCUAAAAGCUGCAAAAUCUAAUUGCCCCGCCUCACAGAACAUUCUCCCUCCAUUGCCAACCGACGAGGAUCUGGGUUCGCUUCUGCUAAUGGGAACAGGGGUUUCCCUUGCAGCCCCUUCUGUAUACUUUGGUACUCAUGAUCCAAGACCCUAACAGCAGCCUAAGAACCAAGAUGUGUGUGGUAUUACCAGGCAGACAAGCUGAGCAGUGGGACAAUGAGCGUGUCCCCACUAGGACCCAGCCAAGCAUGGGGAUAGUCUCCACGAGUCAAUCAGAGAGAGAUGUUUGUCCAACUAGACCGUGACUUGUGCUUAGCACGGAAUCUAGCCAGUAUGUUGGAUCCUCCAAUGGGAAAAUCUUUACCUAAAGGGAUCAUCUCAGUCCCUUUUCUAGGCUAGACUAGUCACGUGUGCUAACAAAGCUGUCUACUUGCCACAGCUUUUAACCAUUUGCCUUAAUAGGUGUUUCCAAUUCCAUUUUGUUCACAAUAAAUGUCAAGUUUCAGCUCCAUUUCCUCCAUUUUGAAGGCAUUUUUGGUGCAUUUCCACAGGCCUAACAUAGCCUGUAACAUAGUGAAACUUGGACUUAAUGAGCCUUCUGUGUGUUUGACAUGUUCGGCUGCUUGUUCUUCCUGUAGUUAAUGGGACACCAGUAGUGAGUGUCAGAAACCCCCAAACCAACCAACACAGCAGGAUGGAAUGUGAGCAUGGUGGCCCCCCACUAAAGACCUACAGGGUGGGAGGAAGGCAGACAGUUCCCCCAAGAGUGUGGGAAGGGGGGUGUGGGAUUCUUGUCCCAGAAGUUUGGGGUGCUGGGCAGACAGAGAUGUCUCUAUAACAAGGAUAGAAAAGAUCUGCUAUCUCCAGGCAACAGAAACUCUUCCCUUAGGCUUUUUUCGGCACCGUGUAUCCCCACCCAGACCUCUGUUCCACGAGGCCCGUGUUCGCUCUAUCAACCUGUCCAGGAGCCACCAAGGGGUUCAGUGAGGUGGGAAAGGGUAAAGAAAAUAAAAGGGAGAGGUUGAAACAAGUUAUCAGUGGAAUGCUUCAGUUGCUCUUCUCCAACUUUGACAUGCAGUUUAUAAAACCGAAUUUAUAUUCUCCAAAAUUGUGAUAUUUUAACUUGCUGAUAUUCAUCCAAAUCUAUUCCAGUCUUGGGGGAAAGUGGCAAAUACCUACUAGGCUUCAAAUAUCUUUUAUUGAGGGUUUUUUCUUUCCAGUAUUUAUGUGACAUUUUUAUUUCCUUCUUUAUGAACUCUACUCGUCAUGCUCAUAACAAAAAGAUGAUGAUGGUGGGUUUUUUCUUACAUAUUCAUAGAUAGAUUUUAUAUAUUAAGGAAAAUACCCACUAUAUUAGGAAAGGCAAAUAUUUUCCCAGUUGUUAAUGGUUGCUUUAUAUUUUAACUUUUUUUUUUUUUAAAGAUUUUAUUUAUUUAUUUGAGAGAGAGAGUGAGAGAGAGAAAGAGCACAAGAGGGGGGAGCGGGAGAGGGAGAAGCAGACUCCCUGCUGAGCAGGGAGCCCGAUGCGGGACUCGAUCCCGGGACUCCAGGAUCAUGACCUGAGCCAAAGGCAGUCGCUUAACCAACUGAGCCACCCAGGCGCCCUAUAUUUUAACUUUUUAUUGAUGUUCAAUAUAUAGAAAAAAGUUUACAAAUCUUACUGUGCAGAUAAAUAAGUUUUCACAAACUGAACAUACAUGUAAAACCAAUAUAUAGGUCAAGAAAUGUAACUGAAGAGGAAUCACAAGAGAAUCCCUUUUUAUUCACCUUCCUGUCUCUACUCAGUUCCAAAAAUAACCAUUACUCUGUUUUCUAAUAUUAUAGAAUGGUAUGUAAGUUUUAAAAAUUUAUGAAAUUUAAAUCAAACAGUAUGUAAUUUUUGUAUCUUGUCUCUUAUGUUUGUGGUACUACAUUUGCAAUAUUGUUUAUAAUAUUAUGUUUUUAAACUUCCUCCAUUCUAUUUUGUGUAGCAAGUGAUCAAUCAUUAUUACGUAUAAUAUUGCAUUAUUUAAAUUAUACCAUGUUUAUUUACCCAUUUUGUUCUUUUUUUAUUUAAAUUCAAUUAAUUAACCUUAACCAUAGAUUUUUCACUCUCCUCCUAUUACGUCCUUCUUCCCAGCCCUAGGAGGUGCCCACUGAGUGUCAGGAAGCACCUGGAAGCACCUGGCCUAGGUACGGUGGGCUGAGGUGUUUGGUGACAAGGCUCUGACUUACCUGGAGCAGCGAGGGCUGGUGAGGUCACGCAGACCAAACAAAGGCCCCACAAGGGGAGACACCUCCACAGACCAGGCUUUGCUAAAAGAAUUGUAUUAACUCUUUAUUCCAAUGGGAUUUUUUUAAAGAGUUAUGUAUUUAUUUGAGAGAGAGAGAAUGCAGGGGGAAGGGGCAGAGGGAGAGGGAGAGAAUCUCCAGCAGACUCUUCGCUGAGCUUAGGGCCCGACGUGGGGCUCAGUCUCACGACCCUGAGAUCACAACCUGAGCAGAAACCAAGAGUCAGACCCUCA